GCUGGGGUAGCAAAGCUUGGUCAAAUGCGAGGGACUUAAGAUCCCUUCUCUUAGGAGUUCGAGGGUUCAAAUCCCUUCCCCAGCA
RNAcentral lists this transfer RNA (85 nucleotides) under Microcaldota archaeon. RNAcentral's name for it is "tRNA-Leu". It matches the Rfam family "tRNA". From Rfam's summary of the family: Transfer RNA (tRNA) molecules are approximately 80 nucleotides in length. Their secondary structure includes four short double-helical elements and three loops (D, anti-codon, and T loops). The record is from RNAcentral. Lineage: Archaea; Nanobdellati; Microcaldota.